GAUUAUCGAAAACAUUAAAAAUCCAAUGAACCAAACUCGCCUCAGCAAGCUCUGGAAUGAUUUAAUAAGAGGUCUCCCAUACCAGGGCUGCUUCUUUAUGUGCAGCAUACGAAGUGAAAUAUUUAAUAGAAAAAUGCCCCUACAAAUUUCAGGCUUCAUGACUGCUGCCUGGAGACCAACAACUCCUGCAUUUAGCAAGCAUUUAAGAUUGUUUGCAUCGUACAAUCAACGGUUUUCAGAUGACAAGAUAAUUACCUAGGAAGCAUGGGCCUAUGCUCCUGAUCUUCUAGUUAAUUGGCUAACUCAGUAUAUAUACCAGGUAAAUAAUCAAACUUAUAUUCACCAGAUGAGGUAAAAGCACUAAAACUUAGGCCAAGUUUGGUACCCAUUUUUGUAAGAACGAGAAUGAAAAAUAUAGUUGUUACGGGACCCACACAAAAGAUAGAAAGUCAAAUGUGGUGGCUUGAUGUGAUGGAUAAUGUCUUCUUUUUUUAUUUUUGUGGCUAAAGAAUGGAAAUCAAAUGGGGACUAAUUGAAAGAACUGAGCUCAGUUGUGGAAAAAAUUGGGUCUCAAGAUUCAAUGUUGUAGGGCCAAAAACAAAGAGAAUUUCAGAUAUGCUGCAUAAUGCAGAAUGAAUUAAUGUGUCCCUGGCCAAGUAGCAUUACCCUUGCAGAAUUAUAAGAAAUCUAGGAUUAGAGCUACAGUUCCAGAUCAACAGUCCCCAAUAAAUGAUAAUCAAACAUGGAGAAAUAGAUAUAAGAGCUUCAGAACAACCAGUAAGGUAAAUUAAAUGUUUAAUAACGUUGGACUGUGUUUAAAAAAACUAAAAGCAGAAUAACAAAUGUUGAAGCCUUAAUAACAAAAGCAGAUAUUGUACAAGCAUAAUCUUCAAAAAUCAGUAGGUGAAUGUCAUUUUAAAAUUAAAAAAUUUUGUAGGAAAUAAUGAUUUCUUCUAAAGAUAAUUUACUCAUAAGAAUGGAAGUGUGUGGCUGUGCAUAUAAAUGUCCAUAUUCCAGCCCAAUAAGCACAAAGAACACCAGUACAAGCAGCAUAAAUUAGACCAAAAUUCAUGAAAAUUAAAACCAUUUUUCGAUCAUGCUAUUAAUUAUUAGAGGCUUCCUAUGGAAAUUGUUUUUUAUCCCCUAGAACAUAAUUACAGCGACUCAAUGCCAGAAACUUCUUUACAGGUUUAAAAAACUCUUACUUCAGAUGUCUUCUGUAAAUAUCAUUAAAUUAUUUAUUAUGCUGAUCAAAUGGAAAUAUUUGUCACUUCAAAUCAAUAUUUAAGUUUGUAUCAAUAUCCAGUAAAAAAUUAUCAGCUACUUCUCCACAUUCUGCAUACAAAAAAUGGCAAUGUAGAUCCUCCUUUACAGAUGUUUACCUGACAAAGAAUGUUCCUCACUGAGUCUGGUGUGGCUACAGCUUUAUAGAAGAAUUUUCCCACACCAGUAUUCCUGAUGAAAUGUACAAAUACAAUGAAAUCCUCGAACAGUGACUAAAAAAUUUAAGACAGGAUAGAAUAUCGAAAACAUAAAAAAUCCAAUGAACCAAACUCGCCUCAGCAAACUCUGGAAUGAUUUAAUAAGAGGUCUCCCAUACCAGGGCUGCUUCUUUAUGUGCAGCAUACGAAGUGAAAUAUUUAAUAGAAAAAUGCCCCUACAAAUUUCAGGCUUCAUGACUGCUGCCUGGAGACCAACAACUCCUGCAUUUAGCAAGCAUUUAAGAUUGUUUGCAUCGUACAAUCAAUGGUUUUCAGAUGACAAGAUAAUUACCUAGGAAGCAUGGGCCUAUGCUCCUGAUCUUCUAGUUAAUUGGCUAACUCAGUAUAUAUACCAGGUAAAUAAUCAAACUUAUAUUCACCAGAUGAGGUAAAAGCACUAAAACUUAGGCCCAAUUUGGUACCCAUUUUUGUAAGAAUGAGAAUGAAAAAUAUAGCGUUACGGACCCAUACAAGAGUAGAAAGUCAAAUGUGGUGGCUUGAUGUGAUGGAUAAUGUCUUCUUUUUUUAUUUUUGUGGCUAAAGAAUGGAAAUCAAAUGGGGACUAAUUGAAAGAACUGAGCUCAGUUGUGGAAAAAAUUGGGUCUCAAGAUUCAAUGUUGUAGGGCCAAAAACAAAGAGAAUUUCAGAUAUGCUGCAUAAUGCAGAAUGAAUUAAUGUGUCCCUGGCCAAGUAGCAUUACCCAUGCAGAAUUAUAAGAAAUCUAGGCUUAGAGCUACAGUUCCCGAUCAACAGUCCCCAAUAUAUGAUAAUCAAACAUGGAGAAAUAGAUAUAAGAGCUUCAGAACAACCAAUAAGGUAAAUUAAAUGUUUAAUAACGUUGGACUGUGUUUAAAAAAACUAAAAGCAGAAUAACAAAUGUUGAAGCCUUAAUAACAAAAGCAGAUAUUGUACAAGCAUAAUCUUCAAAAAUCAGUAGGUGAAUGUCAUUUUAAAAUUAAAAAAUUUUGUAGGAAAUAAUGAUUUCUUCUAAAGAUAAUUUACUCAUAAGAAUGGAAGUGUGUGGCUGUGCAUAUAAAUGUCCAUAUUCCAGCCCAAUAAGCACAAAGAACACCAGUACAAAUAAAAGAUGAAAAUAGAAAAGAAAAAUCAACUUAAUCUUGUUUUCUUUCCGACAAUUCUAAAAUUAUAUGCUGAAUGGCAAUUAUCCACACAUUAGAAGUACACAACCAUUAUUUGCAUAUUUCAUGGAAUGGAAAUGCUAUAACAAAGAUCACCGCC
This 2720-nucleotide long non-coding RNA is filed under the name Olea europaea (common olive). Its description in RNAcentral is "long non-coding RNA (OEUR_LNC003925)". Lineage: Eukaryota; Viridiplantae; Streptophyta; Magnoliopsida; Lamiales; Oleaceae. The record is from RNAcentral.